GAUGAACGCUGGCGGCGUGCCUAAUACAUGCAAGUCGAGCGAACAGACGAGGAGCUUGCUCCUCUGACGUUAGCGGCGGACGGGUGAGUAACACGUGGAUAACCUACCUAUAAGACUGGGAUAACUUCGGGAAACCGGAGCUAAUACCGGAUAAUAUAUUGAACCGCAUGGUUCAAUAGUGAAAGACGGUUUUGCUGUCACUUAUAGAUGGAUCCGCGCCGCAUUAGCUAGUUGGUAAGGUAACGGCUUACCAAGGCAACGAUGCGUAGCCGACCUGAGAGGGUGAUCGGCCACACUGGAACUGAGCCACGGUCCAGACUCCUACGGGAGGCAGCAGUAGGGAAUCUUCCGCAGUGGGCGAAAGCCUGACGGAGCAACGCCGCGUGAGUGAUGAAGGUCUUCGGAUCGUAAAACUCUGUUAUUAGGGAAGAACAAAUUUGUAAGUAACUAUGCACGUCUUGACGGUACCUAAUCAGAAAGCCCCGGCUAACUACGUG
RNAcentral lists this ribosomal RNA (497 nucleotides) under uncultured bacterium. RNAcentral's name for it is "partial 16S ribosomal RNA". It matches the Rfam family "Bacterial small subunit ribosomal RNA", at positions 28 to 507 of the family's 1533-position model. The record is from RNAcentral.